This 504-nucleotide ribosomal RNA is filed under the name uncultured bacterium. RNAcentral describes it as "partial 16S ribosomal RNA". It matches the Rfam family "Bacterial small subunit ribosomal RNA", at positions 29 to 523 of the family's 1533-position model. The record is from RNAcentral.
AUUGAACGCUGGCGGCAGGCCUAACACAUGCAAGUCGAACGGUAGCACAGAGAGCUUGCUCUCGGGUGACGAGUGGCGGACGGGUGAGUAACGUCUGGGAAACUGCCCGAUGGAGGGGGAUAACUACUGGAAACGGUAGCUAAUACCGCAUAACGUCGCAAGACCAAAGUGGGGGACCUUCGGGCCUCACACCAUCGGAUGUGCCCAGAUGGGAUUAGCUAGUAGGUGGGGUAAUGGAUCACCUAGGCGACGAUCCCUAGCUGGUCUGAGAGGAUGACCAGCCACACUGGAACUGAGACACGGUCCAGACUCCUACGGGAGGCAGCAGUGGGGAAUAUUGCACAAUGGGCGCAAGCCUGAUGCAGCCAUGCCGCGUGUACGAAGAAGGCCUUCGGGUUGUAAAGUACUUUCAGCGGGGAGGAAGGCGGUGAAGUUAAUAGCUUAACCGAUUGACGUUACCCGCAGAAGAAGCACCGGCUAACUCCGUGCCAGCCGCCGCCGUAA